CGUUGAGGGGCUAGAGUAAAGUCAUUGAGGGGCUAGAGUACAGUCAUUGAGGGCUAGAGUAAAGUCGUUGAGGGGCUAGAGUAAAGUCGUUGAGGGGCUAGAGUAAAGUCAUUGAGGGGCUAGAGUAAAGUCAUUGAGGGGCUAGACUACAGUCAUUGAGGGGCUAGAGUAAAGUCAUUGAGGGGCUAGAGUAAAGUCAUUGAGGGGCUAGAGUAAGGUCAUUGAGAGGCUAGAGUAAAGUCAUUGAGGGGCUAGAGUAAAGUCAUUGAGAGGCUAGAGUAAAGUCAUUGAGGGGCUAGAGUAAAGUCAUUGAGGGGCUAGACUGAUGUCAUUGAGGGGCUAGACUAGCGUCAUUGAGGGGCUAGACUAGUGUCGUUGAGGGGCUAGAGUAAAGUCAUUGAGGGGCUAGAGUAAAGUCAUUGAGGGGCUAGAGUAAAGUCGUUGAGGGGCUAGAGUAAAGUCAUUGAGGGGCUAGAGUAAAGUCGUUGAGGGGCUAGAGUAAAGUCAUUGAGGGGCUAGAGUAAAGUCGUUGAGGGGCUAGACUAGCGUCGUUGAGGGGCUAGACUAGCGUCAUUGAGGGGCUAGAGUAAAGUCAUUGAGGGGCUAGAGUAAAGUCGUUGAGGGGCUAGAGUAAAGUCGUUGAGGGGCUAAAGUAAAGUCGUUGAGGGGCUAGAGUACAGUCAUUGAGGGGCUAGAGUACAGUCGUUGAGGGGCUAGAGUAAAGUCAUUGAGAGGCUAGAGUAAAGUCAUUGAGGGGCUAGAGUAAAGUCAUUGCGGGGCUAGAAUACAGUCGUUGAUGGGCUAGAGUAAAGUCGUUGAGGGGCUAGAGUAAAGUCGUUGAGGGGCUAGAGUAAAGUCAUUGAGGGGCUAGAGUAAGGUCAUUGAGAGGCUAGAGUAAAGUCAUUGAGAGGCUAGAGUAAAGUCAUUGAGGGGCUAGACUAGCGUCAUUGAGGGGCUAGAGUAAAGUCAUUGAGGGGCUAGACUAGCGUCAUUGAGGGGCUAGAGUAAAGUUGUUGAGGGCUAGAGGAGAGUCGUUGAGGGGCUAGAGUAAAGUCAUUGAGGGGCUAGAGUAAG
This is a long non-coding RNA of Oncorhynchus tshawytscha (Chinook salmon), 1074 nucleotides long. NCBI's taxonomy places the organism in Eukaryota, Metazoa, Chordata, Actinopteri, Salmoniformes, Salmonidae. The record is from Ensembl.